This 103-nucleotide transfer RNA is filed under the name Pyrolobus fumarii 1A. It matches the Rfam family "tRNA". From Rfam's summary of the family: Transfer RNA (tRNA) molecules are approximately 80 nucleotides in length. Their secondary structure includes four short double-helical elements and three loops (D, anti-codon, and T loops). The record is from Rfam by way of RNAcentral. Lineage: Archaea; Thermoproteati; Thermoproteota; Thermoprotei; Desulfurococcales; Pyrodictiaceae.
GCCGCCGUAGCUCAGCGGGAGAGCGCCCGGCUGAUCCGCACACCCAGUGAGGGGUGCGGGGCCACAGACCGGGAGGUCCGGGGUUCGAAUCCCCGCGGCGGCA